UACAGAGGUCUCCAGCGUUGUUCGGAUUCAUUGGGCGUAAAGGGUGCGUAGGCGGCGCGGUAAGUCGGGUGUGAAAUCUCGGAGCUUAACUCCGAAACUGCAUUCGAUACUGCCGUGCUUGAGGACUGGAGAGGAGACUGGAAUUUACAGUGUAGCGGUGAAAUGCGUAGAUAUCGUAAGGAAGACCAGUGGCGAAGGCGGGUCUCUGGACAGUUCCUGACGCUGAGGCACGAAGGCCAGGGGAGCAAACGGG
Molecule: ribosomal RNA, 253 nt
Filed under: uncultured bacterium
Lineage: Bacteria
Description: partial 16S ribosomal RNA
Rfam family: Bacterial small subunit ribosomal RNA
Source: RNAcentral